Molecule: small nuclear RNA, 21 nt
Filed under: Arabidopsis thaliana (thale cress)
Lineage: Eukaryota; Viridiplantae; Streptophyta; Magnoliopsida; Brassicales; Brassicaceae
Description: snRNA_18423
Source: RNAcentral
CCGGAACCGGGACGUGGCGGU